This 77-nucleotide transfer RNA is filed under the name Pseudobdellovibrionaceae bacterium. RNAcentral describes it as "Bdellovibrionaceae bacterium (bioreactor metagenome) tRNA-Pro". It matches the Rfam family "tRNA". From Rfam's summary of the family: Transfer RNA (tRNA) molecules are approximately 80 nucleotides in length. Their secondary structure includes four short double-helical elements and three loops (D, anti-codon, and T loops). Lineage: Bacteria; Pseudomonadati; Bdellovibrionota; Bdellovibrionia; Bdellovibrionales; Pseudobdellovibrionaceae. The record is from RNAcentral. RNAcentral also lists the same sequence under 1 other name.
CGGCGUGUGGCGCAGACUGGUAGCGCGCUUGCUUGGGGUGCAAGAGGUCGCAGGUUCAAAUCCUGUCACGCCGACCA